This 180-nucleotide unclassified non-coding RNA is filed under the name Streptococcus mitis B6. RNAcentral's name for it is "T-box leader". Lineage: Bacteria; Bacillati; Bacillota; Bacilli; Lactobacillales; Streptococcaceae. The record is from RNAcentral.
AACGGAUAAGUAGGUUAUCUUCUUCUUUCAGAAAGUCUGCGGGUGCUGCGAGCAGAUAGGAGGGAUAGGUGAAAUUCUACCGUUAGUAACAAUUACAUACACAAUCAAGUGCACACCUGUGAAGUUGGAUGGAACCGUGGCCCUGCCACUCCAACGCUUUGUCGGGUGUGCUUUUUUCAU